This 495-nucleotide ribosomal RNA is filed under the name uncultured bacterium. RNAcentral's name for it is "partial 16S ribosomal RNA". It matches the Rfam family "Bacterial small subunit ribosomal RNA", at positions 28 to 507 of the family's 1533-position model. The record is from RNAcentral.
GACGAACGCUGGCGGCGUGCCUAAUACAUGCAAGUAGAACGCUGAAGGAGGAGCUUGCUCUUCUGGAUGAGUUGCGAACGGGUGAGUAACGCGUAGGUAACCUGCCUGGUAGCGGGGGAUAACUAUUGGAAACGAUAGCUAAUACCGCAUAACAGUAGAUGUUGCAUGACAUUUGCUUAAAAGGUGCAAUUGCAUCCCUACCAGAUGGACCUGCGUUGUAUUAGCUAGUUGGUGUGGUAACGGCUCACCAAGGCGACGAUACAUAGCCGACCUGAGAGGGUGAUCGGCCACACUGGGACUGAGACACGGCCCAGACGCCUACGGGAGGCAGCAGUAGGGAAUCUUCGGCAAUGGACGGAAGUCUGACCGAGAAACGCCGCGUGAGUGAAGAAGGUUUUCGGAUCGUAAAGCUCUGUUGUAAGAGAAGAACGAGUGUGAGAGUGGAAAGUUCACACUGUGACGGUAUCUUACCAGAAAGGGACGGCUAACUACGUG